ACGAACGCUGGCGGCGUGCUUAACACAUGCCAGUCGAACGGAAAGGCCCCUUUGGGGGUACUCGAGUGGCGAACGGGUGAGUAACACGUGAGUAACCUGCCCUUGACUUCGGGAUAACUUCAGGAAACUGGGGCUAAUACCGGAUAGGAAUCCUUGCUGCAUGGUGGGGGUUGGAAAGCUUCGGCGGUUUUGGAUGGACUCGCGGCUUAUCAGCUUGUUGGUGGGGUAGUGGCUUACCAAGGCUUUGACGGGUAGCCGGCCUGAGAGGGCGACCGGCCACAUUGGGACAGAGAUACGGCCCAGACUCCUACGGGAGGCAGCAGUGGGGGAUAUUGCACAAUGGGCGGAAGCCUGAUGCAGCAACGCCGCGUGCGGGAUGACGGCCUUCGGGUUGUAAACCGCUUUCAGCAGGGGCGAAGCUUGUGGUGACGGUACCUGCAGAAGAAGCACCGGCUAACUACGUG
This 464-nucleotide ribosomal RNA is filed under the name uncultured bacterium. RNAcentral's name for it is "partial 16S ribosomal RNA". It matches the Rfam family "Bacterial small subunit ribosomal RNA", at positions 29 to 507 of the family's 1533-position model. The record is from RNAcentral.